This 301-nucleotide ribosomal RNA is filed under the name uncultured bacterium. Its description in RNAcentral is "partial 16S ribosomal RNA". It matches the Rfam family "Bacterial small subunit ribosomal RNA", at positions 512 to 808 of the family's 1533-position model. The record is from RNAcentral.
CAUCGCCGCGGUAAAACGUAGGUGGCAAGCGUUGUCCGGAAUUAUUGGGCGUAAAGGGCUCGCAGGCGGUUCCUUAAGUCUGAUGUGAAAGCCCCCGGCUCAACCGGGGAGGGUCAUUGGAAACUGGGAAACUUGAGUGCAGAAGAGGAGAGUGGAAUUCCACGUGUAGCGGUGAAAUGCGUAGAGAUGUGGAGGAACACCAGUGGCGAAGGCGACUCUCUGGUCUGUAACUGACGCUGAGGAGCGAAAGCGUGGGGAGCGAACAGGAUUAGAUACCCCCGUAGUCCCUGUCUCUUAUACA